RNAcentral lists this unclassified non-coding RNA (236 nucleotides) under plant metagenome. RNAcentral's name for it is "partial contains small subunit ribosomal RNA, internal transcribed spacer 1, and 5.8S ribosomal RNA". The record is from RNAcentral.
UUUCCGUAGGUGAACCUGCGGCAGGAUCAUUACUGAGUGAGGGCCCCUCGGGGUCCAACCUCCCACCCGUGUUUAACGAACCUUGUUGCUUCGGCGGGCCCGCCUCACGGCCGCCGGGGGGCAUCUGCCCCCGGGCCCGCGCCCGCCGAAGCCACCUGUGAACGCUGUCUGAAGUAUGCAGUCUGAGACAAUUAUUAAAUUAAUUAAAACUUUCAACAACGGAUCUCUUGGUUCCG